This 69-nucleotide transfer RNA is filed under the name Psammotettix sp. EMHAU-2015-Zz053036. RNAcentral's name for it is "tRNA-Gln". Lineage: Eukaryota; Metazoa; Arthropoda; Insecta; Hemiptera; Cicadellidae. The record is from RNAcentral.
UGUAAAAAAGUGUAAGAUGCAUUUGAAAUUUUGAUUUUCAGGGUUUAAGUUUAAUUCUUAAUUUUUCAA